This 260-nucleotide ribosomal RNA is filed under the name uncultured archaeon. RNAcentral describes it as "partial 16S ribosomal RNA". It matches the Rfam family "Archaeal small subunit ribosomal RNA", at positions 748 to 1009 of the family's 1478-position model. The record is from RNAcentral.
CAGCUGUAAACUAUGUGCGUUAGGUGUGUCAGUGACCACGUGUCACUGAGGUGCCGAAGGGAAACCGUGAAACGCACCGCCUGGGGAGUACGGUCGCAAGGCUGAAACUUAAAGGAAUUGGCGGGGAGCACCACAACGGGUGGAGCCUGCGGUUUAAUCGGACUCAACGCCGGGAAUCUCACCGGGACCGACAGCAACAUGAAGGCCAAGCUGAAGACUUUGCCGGAUUAGCUGAGAGGAGGUGCAUGGCGUAGUCGUGU